RNAcentral lists this ribosomal RNA (494 nucleotides) under uncultured bacterium. RNAcentral describes it as "partial 16S ribosomal RNA". It matches the Rfam family "Bacterial small subunit ribosomal RNA", at positions 28 to 507 of the family's 1533-position model. The record is from RNAcentral.
GACGAACGCUGGCGGCGUGCUUAACACAUGCAAGUCGAACGGUGAAGCGCCUUCCUUUUUGGUGGGUGUGGAUGAGUGGCGAACGGGUGAGUAACACGUGAGUAACCUGCCCCCUUCUUCUGGAUAACCGCAUGAAAGUGUGGCUAAUACGGGAUAUUCUGGGUCUGUCGCAUGAUGGGUCUGGGAAAGAUAUUGUUUCGGUGGGGGAUGGGCUCGCGGCCUAUCAGCUUGUUGGUGGGGUGAUGGCCUACCAAGGCGGUGACGGGUAGCCGGCCUGAGAGGGUAGACGGUCACACUGGGACUGAGACACGGCCCAGACUCCUACGGGAGGCAGCAGUGGGGAAUAUUGCACAAUGGGCGCAAGCCUGAUGCAGCGACGCCGCGUGAGGGAUGGAGGCCUUCGGGUGGUGAACCUCUUUCGCCAGUGAAGCAGGCCUGCCUCGUUUGUGGGUGGGUUGACGGUAGCUGGAUAAGAAGCGCCGGCUAACUACGUG